Molecule: long non-coding RNA, 809 nt
Organism: Mesocricetus auratus (golden hamster)
Lineage: Eukaryota; Metazoa; Chordata; Mammalia; Rodentia; Cricetidae
Exons: 6
Source: RefSeq, a predicted model, not a curated record
GGCGACCGAGGCACCCGGCCGACGCUGUCCACUGUGACGGCCCUGCGGCGUCUCGUGGGCUCCAGGGCAACGCGCCGGCUUCGUCACGAUAUCUACGGCGGGCGCCGAGGCCCAAGCUUCCGCCAGGUCUCUUGUUUCCCCAACCACCUGCUGUCCAUCACCUGCCCGGAACCACCCGAUCCUGACGGUCACCACUGCGCAGAACCAGGGAGCUUCCAUCUGCAGUCUCAACCCACUUUACAUUAUUCCUAACAAGAGACCUUAAAUGAGAAUCUGUAUAUUCAUCGUGGGUUACCAUGGUCCCAAGUUCACCCAUCCAUGAUGCUGACUGACAUGGACACUGUUCUGGACAAAAUGCCAGUAAUCUUUCCAAAGCCAGUGUAAUCACCACGUGUUGAGAUGCAGCUUCAACAGCUCCAGGCAGAACAGAUCUUCACAUGGCAUUCCCUGAUGUCUCUUAUCUUAGCCUUUCUUCUCUCUAGUCUGGUUACUAAUUGGAAGAGCUAUGUGAACAAGAAGGACAACGGAGAGCAAGCUUUCACUCUUGGGCUGGAAGACAGAAGCAUAGAUGAAAACCAGCCAGCUCUCAGGCAGGGACGAAAGACAUCACCUGGACUGUGGAGAAAGAAGACCAGAAGUUCAGUCCUUUUAUUGCAAAGGAGAAUCUGCGUGGUGGUGUUUGCUGUGACAGGGCAUAGAAUGGAGACGGUUCUAGAACAGGUGGAGCUUCCAUGACAAAGCAGGAAACAUUUGCACUGGAACUUAAGAGGAGCAGGGGAUAUCAACUAGCUGCCUGGAGAGGAGAAGAG